ACACAAACUCUUACAGAGCAUUUCUGGUUUCCAGUGCAAAUGUCUUAGUAGCCUUGAAAUCUAACAAAACUAACUAAUAAGCAACUUUCCAGCAAGAUACUGGCGUUUGUUU
Long non-coding RNA from Xiphophorus couchianus (Monterrey platyfish), 112 nucleotides. RefSeq lists it as uncharacterized. The transcript has 3 exons. NCBI's taxonomy places the organism in Eukaryota, Metazoa, Chordata, Actinopteri, Cyprinodontiformes, Poeciliidae. The record is from RefSeq and is a predicted model, not a curated record.